GAUGUUGCCUGAAAAGUUUUGCAUGGAAUAAUGGAAUAGGACUUCGGUUCUAUUUUGUUGGUUUUCGGAUCCGAAGUAAUGAUCAAAAGAGACAGGCGGGGACGUUUGUAUGGUUGCGCUAGAGGUGAAAUUCUUGGACCGUAAUCAGACAAACUAAAGCGAAAGCAUUCGUCAAGCAUGUUUUCAUUGACCAUGAGCGAAAGUCAGAGGCUCGAAGACGAUCAGAUACCGUCCUAGUUCUGACCAUAAACGAUGCCAACUGACGAUCCGUGGUGGUAGUUUAUAACAUUCCCCACGGGCAGUCCCCGGGAAACCUUUAAGUCUUUGGGUUCCGGGGGAAGUAUGGUUGCAAAGCUGAAACUUAAAGGAAUUGACGGAAGGGCACCACCAGGAGUGGAGCCUGCGGCUUAAUUCGACUCAACACGGGNNAACUCACCCGGCCCGGACACUG
RNAcentral lists this ribosomal RNA (451 nucleotides) under Gilquinia squali. RNAcentral describes it as "SSU rRNA". It matches the Rfam family "Eukaryotic small subunit ribosomal RNA", at positions 787 to 1233 of the family's 1831-position model. Lineage: Eukaryota; Metazoa; Platyhelminthes; Cestoda; Trypanorhyncha; Gilquiniidae. The record is from RNAcentral.